This 1692-nucleotide long non-coding RNA is filed under the name Strongylocentrotus purpuratus (purple sea urchin). RNAcentral's name for it is "uncharacterized LOC115922541". Lineage: Eukaryota; Metazoa; Echinodermata; Echinoidea; Camarodonta; Strongylocentrotidae. The record is from RNAcentral.
UGGUGCCCCUUUUCUUUCAACUAAUGCCCAUUUCCCAUUAUCGUAAGUGCUUUUUCAUUCCUGAUGAGUGCCGCCUUUUGUAGUUUUAAGAAGAGCCCAAUUUUCACCUCUUCAAUUAUAACCUUUAUCGCAUAACUUCAUAAAAAGAUGAUUUCAAAGUUGUUUGGGUUAUGAACUUGUAUUAAUAUGGACAAAUAUGGCUGUUGUGUCAGAGAAAAUGACGCGCAUGCUGUGAGAUUUUAAGGAAAGGAAUGAAUAUGAGAAAAGUUGAAAGGACGGGAGAGAGAGGGAGAGGAAGAGAUGAGGGGAGACGGGGUAUAUAGAGAGAAAGAAGAGAGAGAGAGAGAGAUGGGGAGGGAGAGUGAAAGAAGGAGGGAAGAUAGUGAAGAGAUAAAGGGGGCGGAGUAGAGAGAGACUGGAAGAAAAACAAAAGAUCGCUACUAUAUUCACCCCUAAACUUGAUUUACUAGUAUGUGCUCGCGCUCGCGUGGCCCUAUAGCUGUCACAUUCCACCAGCCUUCAACCACCAAGUCCCCAGAGAAACAAAUUUAUCUCUUAUCUUGCUGACAUAAGUAUAUCAGUCAACGACUGGAUUCUAAUCUCAAUUUCUUGCUGAGAGACUUGAUGCAUGGACCUACUACAAACCAUGCUUGAUGACAGAGAAAGUGCAUUUUACGCAAUGUAAGAGUACACAGGCAGGGAGGAAGUUUCCAUUGAUUUAGGUUUCCACCCUAGGACCAGGGACUUGGAACUUGAAGACUGCUAGGACCUACUUCUUGGUAACUUUUAUGUACUUUAAUAUACCAUGUAGGGACUUCCAUGCUAAAAAUAGCUAUGCUAAGCUGAAAGCAUGUUUUUUUUAAUCACCGUAUUUAAAUAAAUAAACAAACAAAACUGGCUCACUGCUAUGCAAUAUCAAGAGCACGUUCGAAGCUCCCGGUAAUUCAGAUUGUAUUGCACAGAGAUGGUUCUCCAGCCACGUAAUGAUCUAAUUAGAAGAUAAAAAGGCAUUCUCCUCGUGGCCAUCUUUUUCCCUUUAUUAUUUCAUAUAUCAUGUCUUCCUCUUUCCAACAUUUACUACCUAGUCUCACGGAUCAAUCUACGAUACAGGUUGGUAGAAAGUGAUGAGGCACUUUAUACACAAAAUGAUGUGCCUGAUGUUGGCAAGUGCAUAAACGCCUGGUGAUAACCGUGAUAUUGGUAUUCAUUUUCUUCAAUCAAUUUUUUUAUUUUCCGUCGACUUACUUUUUGUCGUAAAAGCCUGUAACAUCAGUGAUAUAUAAUUGAUUUCGCUUCUCUCUUCUCUGCGAUCUAUUUUGUCAAGCGCCUGGUGAUAUUGGCAUUCAUUUUCUUCAAUCAUUGUUUUCGUUCCGUCGACUUACUUUUUGUCGUAAAAGCCUGUAACAUCAGCGAUGUAUAAUUGAUUUAGCUUCUCCCUCCCCUUCGAGCUAUCUCUCUUGUAUUUUGUCAAUGUCCUGGUGAUAUUGGAAUUAUUUUUUUCAUUCAUUUCUUUCGUUCCGUCGACUUACUUUUUGUCAUAAAAGCCAGUAACAUCAGCGAUAUUUAGUAUAAUUGAAUUCACUUCUCUCUUCCCUGCGAUCUAUCUCUCUUUUAUUUUGCCAAGCGCCUGGUGAUAUUGGAAUUCAUUUUCUUCAUUCAUUUCUUUCAUUCCGUAGGCUUACUCUUUGUCAU